This 497-nucleotide ribosomal RNA is filed under the name uncultured bacterium. Its description in RNAcentral is "partial 16S ribosomal RNA". It matches the Rfam family "Bacterial small subunit ribosomal RNA", at positions 28 to 507 of the family's 1533-position model. The record is from RNAcentral.
GAUGAACGCUGGCGGCGUGCCUAAUACAUGCAAGUCGAGCGAACAGACGAGGAGCUUGCUCCUCUGACGUUAGCGGCGGACGGGUGAGUCACACGUGGAUAACCUACCUAUAAGACUGGGAUAACUUCGGGAAACCGGAGCUAAUACCGGAUAAUAUAUUGAACCGCAUGGUUCAAUAGUGAAAGACGGUUUUGCUGUAACUUCUAGAUGGAUACCGGCCGCAUUAGCUAGUUGGUAAGGUAACGGCUUACCAAGGCAACGAUGCGUAGCCGACCUGAGAGAGUGAUAGGCCGCCUGAGAAGUGAGCCGGGGUCAAGACUCCUACGGGAGGGAGCAGUAGGGAAUGUUACGCAACGGUCGAAAGUCUGACAGAGCAGGGCGACGCGAGUGAUAGAGGUCUUCGGAUCGGAAAACUCUGUUAUUAGGGAAGAACAAAUGUGUAAUUAACUAUGCACGUCUUGACGGUAACUAAUCAGAAAGCCACGGCUAACUACGUG